GUCCACACCGUAAACGUUGGGCGCUAGGUGUGGGGCCUAUUCCAUGGGUUCCGUGCCGCAGCUAACGCAUUAAGCGCCCCGCCUGGGGAGUACGGCCGCAAGGCUAAAACUCAAAGGAAUUGACGGGGGCCCGCACAAGCGGCGGAGCAUGCGGAUUAAUUCGAUGCAACGCGAAGAACCUUACCUGGGUUUGACAUAUGCCGGAAAGCCCCAGAGAUGGGGCCCCUUUUGUCGGUAUACAGGUGGUGCAUGGCUGUCGU
RNAcentral lists this ribosomal RNA (260 nucleotides) under uncultured bacterium. RNAcentral's name for it is "partial 16S ribosomal RNA". It matches the Rfam family "Bacterial small subunit ribosomal RNA", at positions 793 to 1055 of the family's 1533-position model. The record is from RNAcentral.